Molecule: ribosomal RNA, 761 nt
Filed under: Prevotella melaninogenica
Lineage: Bacteria; Pseudomonadati; Bacteroidota; Bacteroidia; Bacteroidales; Prevotellaceae
Description: bacterial SSU rRNA
Rfam family: Bacterial small subunit ribosomal RNA
Source: RNAcentral
GAUGAACGCUAGCUACAGGCUUAACACAUGCAAGUCGAGGGGAAACGGCAUUGAGUGCUUGCACUCUUUGGACGUCGACCGGCGCACGGGUGAGUAACGCGUAUCCAACCUUCCCAUUACUGUGGGAUAACCUGCCGAAAGGCCGACUAAUACCGCAUAGUCUUCGAUGACGGCAUCAGAUUUGAAGUAAAGAUUUAUCGGUAAUGGAUGGGGAUGCGUCUGAUUAGCUUGUUGGCGGGGUAACGGCCCACCAAGGCGACGAUCAGUAGGGGUUCUGAGAGGAAGGUCCCCCACAUUGGAACUGAGACACGGUCCAAACUCCUACGGGAGGCAGCAGUGAGGAAUAUUGGUCAAUGGACGGAAGUCUGAACCAGCCAAGUAGCGUGCAGGAUGACGGCCCUAUGGGUUGUAAACUGCUUUUGUAUGGGGAUAAAGUCAAUCACGUGUGAUUGUUUGCAGGUACCAUACGAAUAAGGACCGGCUAAUUCCGUGCCAGCAGCCGCGGUAAUACGGAAGGUCCAGGCGUUAUCCGGAUUUAUUGGGUUUAAAGGGAGCGUAGGCUGGAUAUUAAGUGUGUUGUGAAAUGUAGACGCUCAACGUCUGACUUGCAGCGCAUACUGGUUUCCUUGAGUACGCACAACGUUGGCGGAAUUCGUCGUGUAGCGGUGAAAUGCUUAGAUAUGACGAAGAACUCCGAUUGCGAAGGCAGCUGACGGGAGCGCAACUGACGCUUAAGCUCGAAGGUGCGGGUAUCAAACAGG